UACGGGGGGGCAAGCGUUGUUCGGAAUUACUGGGCGUAAAGGGCUCGUAGGCGGCCAACUAAGUCAGACGUGAAAUCCCUCGGCUUAACCGGGGAACUGCGUCUGAUACUGGAUGGCUUGAGUUUGGGAGAGGGAUGCGGAAUUCCAGGUGUAGCGGUGAAAUGCGUAGAUAUCUGGAGGAACACCGGUGGCGAAGGCGGCAUCCUGGACCAACACUGACACUGAGGAGCGAAAGCCAGGGGAGCAAACGGG
RNAcentral lists this ribosomal RNA (252 nucleotides) under uncultured bacterium. RNAcentral's name for it is "partial 16S ribosomal RNA". It matches the Rfam family "Bacterial small subunit ribosomal RNA", at positions 524 to 776 of the family's 1533-position model. The record is from RNAcentral.